UACGGAGGGCGCGAGCGUUGUCCGGAAUCAUUGGGUUUAAAGGGUGCGCAGGCGGCCCGAUAAGCCGGGGGUGAAAUACCGGGGCUCAACCCCGGUGCCGCCCCCGGAACUGCCGGGCUUGAGUACCGUUAAGGCAGGCGGAAUUUGUGGUGUAGCGGUGAAAUGCAUAGAUACCACAAGGAACACCGAAAGCGAAGGCAGCCUGCCGGGCGGGAACUGACGCUCAUGCACGAAAGCGCGGGUAGCGAACAGG
Molecule: ribosomal RNA, 253 nt
Filed under: uncultured bacterium
Lineage: Bacteria
Description: partial 16S ribosomal RNA
Rfam family: Bacterial small subunit ribosomal RNA
Source: RNAcentral